UGAUAAGUCUGAUGUGAAAGCCCACGGCUCAACCGUGGAACUGCAUCGGAAACUGUCAUUCUUGAGUGCAGAAGAGGAGAGUGGAAUUCCAUGUGUAGCGGUGGAAUGCGUAGAUAUAUGGAAGAACACCAGUGGCGAAGGCGGCUCUCUGGUCUGCAACUGACGCUGAGGCUCGAAAGCAUGGGUAGCGAACAGGAUUAGAUACCCUGGUAGUCCAUGCCGUAAACGAUGAGCGCUAGGUGUUGGGGACUUUCCGGUCCUCAGUGCCGCAGCAAACGCAUUAAGCGCUCCGCCUGGGGAGUACGACCGCAAGGUUGAAACUCAAAGGAAUUGACGGGGGCCCGCACAAGCGGUGGAGCAUGUGGUUUAAUUCGAAGCAACGCGAAGAACCUUACCAGGUCUUGACAUCCUGUGCUACACCUAGAGAUAGGUGGUUCCCUUCGGGGACGCAGAGACAGGUGGUGCAUGGCUGUCGUCAGCUCGUGUCGUGAGAUGUUGGGUUAAGUCCCGCAACGAGCGCAACCCUUGUCUUUAGUUGCCAUCAUUAAGUUGGGCACUCUAAAGAGACUGCCGGUGACAAACCGGAGGAAGGUGGGGAUGACGUCAAGUCAUCAUGCCCCUUAUGACCUGGGCUACACACGUGCUACAAUGGGCAGUACAACGAGAAGCGAACCCGCGAGGGUAAGCGGAUCUCUUAAAGCUGUUCUCAGUUCGGACUGCAGGCUGCAACUCGCCUGCACGAAGCUGGAAUCGCUAGUAAUCGCGGAUCAGCACGCCGCGGUGAAUACGUUCCCGGGCCUUGUACACACCGCCCGUCACACCAUGGAAGUCUGCAAUGCCCAAAGUCGGUGGGAUAACCUUUAUAGGAGUCAGCCGCCUAAGGCAGGGCAGAUGACUGGGGUGAAGUCGUAACAAGGUAGCCGUAGGAGAACCUGCGGCUGGAUCACCUCCUUUCUAAGGAA
RNAcentral lists this ribosomal RNA (962 nucleotides) under Lactobacillus delbrueckii subsp. bulgaricus. RNAcentral describes it as "bacterial SSU rRNA". It matches the Rfam family "Bacterial small subunit ribosomal RNA", at positions 581 to 1533 of the family's 1533-position model. Lineage: Bacteria; Bacillati; Bacillota; Bacilli; Lactobacillales; Lactobacillaceae. The record is from RNAcentral.